GUAUACGGGGAGAAAAAAAAUAAAGCAAUGGAAGUAAAGUCAACAGGGAGGGUAAAAUAAGAAAGCAACAGCAAGAGUCUCUCGUCUCUUCCGAUGAUAUUUCUCCCAGUCUCUAACGGUCUCUCCUUGACUCUCCCUCCUCCCCUCCCACUCACCCAGACCAAACAACUCUCUCCCUCAGUCCCUCCUCCCUCCUGCCCUCUCACUCACUGGAUCCCCAUGGCUUUCCUCCUCAUAGGACUUGGAUUUGGGCAUCCUGCGGCUCUCCAGCGAAAUGAUCGGUGGUGGCUGUUUUGGUGAUGGCGGCAUCGGCGGCGACGGGAGGGGCGGAUCCAGCGACCUCUUCCCCUCCCUCACAUAUCCCAUCGUCUGUUCGCUCCCCUCUCGCGCGGAUCCGCCGUCGGCGGCGAUGGGAGGGGCGGAUCCGGUGACCUCUUCUCCUCCCUCACAUAUCCCAUCGCUUGUUCACCCCCUCUUGCGCGGAUCCACCGUCGGCGGCGAUGGGAGGGGCGGAUACAGCAACCUCUUCCCCUCCCGCGCUGAUCCCGUCGUCUGUUCGCCCCCCUCCCCCCCCCCUCUCGCGCGGAUCCGCCGUCGGCGAUUAUGGGAGGGGCGGAUCCGGCGACCUCUUCCCCUCCCACGCUGAUCCCGUCAUCUCUCCGCCCCCCUCUCGCAUGGAUCAGCCAUCGGCAGCUACGGGAGCGUCGGAUCUUGUGACCACUUCCCCUCCCGCAUGGAUCCCGUCAUCUCUCCGCCCCCUCUCGCGCAGAUUUGCCAGUAGCUGUCCGGCUGGUCGGAGAGAAGGUUUCAAGAUGGCGGACGAAGGUUGACCUGUGGUUCUGCUGAUGAGGAGGCCAUGGCCGUCGGAUCCUGUGAGAGCGGACUCCCCGUUAGCUGUUCGGCUGGCUGGAGAGGAGCUUUCAAGAUGGUGGACCGAGGAGAGCGCGGCUGAGUGGUGCCAUUGAAGAUAGUGGGCGUUUCUUCAUGAUUUCAUAUUAACUUUGGGAUCUUUGGUACUGGUGGUUAUUUGGGCAGCUAUGGGGGUCUUGAUGGGUAUGACAAUACUCUACCAGGAAUUCAGAUAAGGUCACUGCGAAAGUUAUAGCCAUAUACUACAGGUACUGAACCACGUCCUUUGUACAGCGCCGAGGUAGGCCUGCUGUGGGGUGCUUUGUGUUGUGGAUAUUGGGCGUGGACCAGAAGCUGAUUAUGUGGUGUUUCACCGCGUGAAAUUGCACUACCAUGUCAAAUAUUAAAAAUUGCAUUUAUAGCUGUGAUUGGAACUCAGAAACUUUGACUACCAAGACAAGAGAUCAAGAUGCCUGGAAUGGCAUUGUGAAUUUGUGAUCCCCAAUACAAUUGAAGUUGUUCACGGAGCUGCUCUUGGCACGAUGGCUUCUUUGGUGUUGGAGUAGAACUCUUUGAAUGCUUUUUUUGUCACACCACAAGAACAAAUUUUAUUUGUGGUACCAGUUUUGUUUGUAUAUAUAUAGGAUAGGAUGUAUGCAGCGUUCCUGUGGUGUUCGAAUGUAAUAUUGUGGGGGGGGGGGGGGGGGGGGGGAGUUCCUGUCUACGUUACCCCGAUACUUCACUGAAGUCACACAUCCGUAUCGGAUACUCCAACGGAUACGGAUACGCUCCAAUACGUAUCCCGUACGUAUCCUGCACUUUCCCAAUUUUCAAUUAAAUAAAACAACCACGGAUACAUUUCGAAUA
Oryza sativa Japonica Group (Japanese rice) is the source of this 1716-nucleotide long non-coding RNA. RefSeq lists it as uncharacterized. NCBI's taxonomy places the organism in Eukaryota, Viridiplantae, Streptophyta, Magnoliopsida, Poales, Poaceae. The record is from RefSeq and is a predicted model, not a curated record.